UGGGGAAUUUUGGACAAUGGACGCAAGUCUGAUCCAGCCAUGCCGCGUGCGGGAAGAAGGCCUUCGGGUUGUAAACCGCUUUUGUCAGGGAAGAAACGAGUUUCUCUAAUACAGAGACUUAAUGACGGUACCUGAAGAAUAAGCACCGGCUAACUACGUGCCAGCAACCGCGGUAAUACGUAGGGUGCGAGCGUUAAUCGGAAUUACUGGGCGUAAAGCGUGCGCAGGCGGUUAUAUAAGACAGAUGUGAAAUCCCCGGGCUCAACCUGGGACCUGCAUUUGUGACUGCAUAGCUAGAGUACGGUAGAGGGGGAUGGAAUUCCGCGUGUAGCAGUGAAAUGCGUAGAUAUGCGGAGGAACACCGAUGGCGAAGGCAAUCCCCUGGACCUGUACUGACGCUCAUGCACGAAAGCGUGGGGAGCAAACA
This 427-nucleotide ribosomal RNA is filed under the name uncultured bacterium. Its description in RNAcentral is "bacterial SSU rRNA". It matches the Rfam family "Bacterial small subunit ribosomal RNA", at positions 355 to 774 of the family's 1533-position model. The record is from RNAcentral.